Long non-coding RNA from Daucus carota subsp. sativus, 858 nucleotides. RefSeq lists it as uncharacterized. NCBI's taxonomy places the organism in Eukaryota, Viridiplantae, Streptophyta, Magnoliopsida, Apiales, Apiaceae. The record is from RefSeq and is a predicted model, not a curated record. The transcript has 2 exons.
UAAUAAUUGAGAUUUUCCUUUCAGAUUUUGGGUAUAAUAUUGAUCUUGAUGUCCUUGAGUUGUUUCUGGAUCUAUAUCUCAAAGACUCAAACAAUGAAGAAGAUGCUCCAAGUUGGCACUAUAGCUUCUCUGAUUAGUCAUGAUUUGACAUCUUUAAUAAUAUGAAUAAGAGAUUUUUUUUAUUCGGUAAUGUGUUUUGUAUAAUCUAUAUAUGGUUGUGAUAAUAAUUGAAGUUUGCAUUUGGUGUUUUGAUAAGAAAUAUAUAUGCUACAAAUUUGAGAAGAAGUAUGCCGUGCAAGGGAGUACAAGUGCAAUUGUGGAUCUACCUUCUCUAGGCGUGAUAGUUUAAUCAAUCACCAUUCAAUAUGCCAAGUGUUUGUGAGAGAGGUGGCUAGGCACACAACAAAUUGGCCCCAGCAGCAGCAUGACUGCUGGAAUACAUGCAAAUGUCAGUAAUAUGCCUCUUCGUCCAAUUUGGGAGCCAAAACUUAAUAUUCCUUGAUCCUCUGAAUAUUCGGAGAUUCGUGGCUUUCCUAGCAACAUAGCACCAAGCAACAUGUUUGAUUUUGGUUUUGAUGGUAGUGCAAAACCAAAAACAAGUUGGAAUUUGAAUAUUAAAGGAGGAAGAUAACAAAGACCUAAUCUAGAUGCAGACUUUGGACCGAGAGGCACCAAUGUUGCUAAUUAUAUUUGCAGAUGGUUAACAUGUCAAUUUUUUGUUGGCAAAUUUGGGUUUGUGGCAACACCACUAGUUAACAUGUCAAUUCUAUGUCAUUCCAAAAUUUAUUAAUUUAUGAUUCAAUAAAUUGUAUAAACGGAAAGGUUUGUAAUCUUAGCAGAGAAGUCCUUUGGUGAUAA